RNAcentral lists this ribosomal RNA (497 nucleotides) under uncultured bacterium. RNAcentral describes it as "partial 16S ribosomal RNA". It matches the Rfam family "Bacterial small subunit ribosomal RNA", at positions 28 to 507 of the family's 1533-position model. The record is from RNAcentral.
GAUGAACGCUGGCGGCGUGCCUAAUACAUGCAAGUCGAGCGAACGGACGAGAAGCUUGCUGCUCUGAUGUUAGCGGCGGACGGGUGAGUAACACGUGUAUAACCUACCUAUAAGACUGGGAUAACUUCGGGAAACCGGCGCUAAUACCGGAUAAUAUUUUGAACCGCAUGGUUCAAAAGUGAAAGACGGUCUUGCUGUCACUAAUAGAUGCUUCCGCGCUGGUUUGGCUAGUUGUUAAGGUAACGGCUUACCAAGGCAAGGAGGCAUAGCCGACCUGAGAGGGUGAUCGGCCACACUGGAACGGAGCCACGGUCCAGACUCCUACGGGAGGCAGCAGUAGGGAAUCUUCCGCAAUGGGCGAAAGCCUGACGGAGCAACGCCGCGUGAGUGAUGAAGGUCUUCGGAUCGUAAAACUCUGUUAUUAGGGAAGAACAUAUGUGUAAGUAACUGUGCACAUCUUGACGGUACCUAAUCAGAAAGCCACGGCUAACUACGUG